This 779-nucleotide ribosomal RNA is filed under the name Halomonas sp. G8.2. RNAcentral describes it as "bacterial SSU rRNA". It matches the Rfam family "Bacterial small subunit ribosomal RNA", at positions 35 to 803 of the family's 1533-position model. The record is from RNAcentral. Lineage: Bacteria; Pseudomonadati; Pseudomonadota; Gammaproteobacteria; Oceanospirillales; Halomonadaceae.
GCUGGCGGCAGGCCUAACACAUGCAAGUCGAGCGGAAACGAUGGAAGCUUGCUUCCAGGCGUCGAGCGGCGGACGGGUGAGUAAUGCAUAGGAAUCUGCCCGGUAGUGGGGGAUAACUUGGGGAAACCCAAGCUAAUACCGCAUACGCCCUACGGGGGAAAGCAGGGGAUCUUCGGACCUUGCGCUAUCGGAUGAGCCUAUGUCGGAUUAGCUAGUUGGUGAGGUAAUGGCUCACCAAGGCCGCGAUCCGUAGCUGGUCUGAGAGGAUGAUCAGCCACAUCGGGACUGAGACACGGCCCGAACUCCUACGGGAGGCAGCAGUGGGGAAUAUUGGACAAUGGGCGAAAGCCUGAUCCAGCCAUGCCGCGUGUGUGAAGAAGGCCCUCGGGUUGUAAAGCACUUUCAGUGAGGAAGAACGCUUGUGGGUUAAUACCCUGCAAGGAAGACAUCACUCACAGAAGAAGCACCGGCUAACUCCGUGCCAGCAGCCGCGGUAAUACGGAGGGUGCGAGCGUUAAUCGGAAUUACUGGGCGUAAAGCGCGCGUAGGCGGCUUGAUAAGCCGGUUGUGAAAGCCCCGGGCUCAACCUGGGAACGGCAUCCGGAACUGUCAGGCUAGAGUGCAGGAGAGGAAGGUAGAAUUCCCGGUGUAGCGGUGAAAUGCGUAGAGAUCGGGAGGAAUACCAGUGGGCGAAGGCGGCCUUCUGGACUGACACUGACCCCUGAGGUGCNAAANCGUGGGUAGCAAACAGGAUUAGAUCCCCUGGUAGUCCACGCCGU